This 17-nucleotide small RNA is filed under the name Arabidopsis thaliana (thale cress). Its description in RNAcentral is "ATSL180590". Lineage: Eukaryota; Viridiplantae; Streptophyta; Magnoliopsida; Brassicales; Brassicaceae. The record is from RNAcentral.
GUUUUUUUCUUCUGUCA